UACGAAGGGGGCUAGCGUUGCUCGGAAUGACUGGGCGUAAAGGGCGCGUAGGCGGCUCAUCCAGUCAGGCGUGAAAUUCCUGGGCUCAACCUGGGGACUGCGCUUGAGACGUGUGGGCUUGAGUGGGGAAGAGGGUCGUGGAAUUCCCAGUGUAGAGGUGAAAUUCGUAGAUAUUGGGAAGAACAUCGGUGGCGAAGGCGGCGACCUGGUCCUUGACUGACGCUGAGGCGCGAAAGCGUGGGGAGCAAACAGG
RNAcentral lists this ribosomal RNA (253 nucleotides) under uncultured bacterium. RNAcentral describes it as "partial 16S ribosomal RNA". It matches the Rfam family "Bacterial small subunit ribosomal RNA", at positions 524 to 776 of the family's 1533-position model. The record is from RNAcentral.